This 3901-nucleotide long non-coding RNA is filed under the name Cucumis sativus (cucumber). RNAcentral's name for it is "long non-coding RNA (CSAT_LNC000845)". Lineage: Eukaryota; Viridiplantae; Streptophyta; Magnoliopsida; Cucurbitales; Cucurbitaceae. The record is from RNAcentral.
GUGCUGAAUCUGAUGGAUCAAUUCAUGGAGGACCCGUUUCUGGCAGCAUCACGAGGAGUAGGAGCAGGUUCAAGGAGGGGCUGGGACGUGAAAGAAGACGACAACGCUCUAUAUCUCCGAAUGGACAUGCCAGGACUGAGCAAAGAUGAUGUGAGGGUGAGUGUGGAGCAGAACACACUGAUCAUCAAAGGAGAGGGAGCGAAAGAAUCUGAAGACGAAGAAGAUCGUAGACGAUUCUCGAGCAGACUGGACUUGCCUGCGAAUCUGUACGAACUGAAUUCAAUAAAAGCAGAGAUGAAGAAUGGGGUGCUGAAAGUGGCAGUGCCAAAAGUGAAGGAAGAAGAAAGGAAGGAUGUGAGGCAUGUUACUGUUGAGUGAGUAGUUUGGCCCCUCGAAACUAGAAAAUUAUGAAGAGCUUCUUCUUUCUCCUCUAGGUUUAACUACUUUGAUGCUUUGGGUGGUUGUUGUGUCUGCAUGUGAAUAAGAUAUGAGGAUUUCAGAGUUGUUUUGAUAAUGUCCUGAAAGUUGUUUGAAGAGUUGAGAAGGUCUUCUGAAAUGAAAUGUAUGAGUAAACUUUCUUUGAAUUGAACCAAUGCAUUCUUAGUACUCUUUUAAGCCAUUGAAAGACUUAACUAAAAUGGGUUGAAAGGAGUUUGUCUUGUGUAGUAGUGGCAACCAUGAAUAGGAGGUUUAAAGCUGCUUUAUACGCUAUAUGUGGGCAUUUUAAUCUUUUAGGUACAUUUAAAUUCUAUUACAUUUGUGAAUUAUUUGGGUUAUAAAUUUUUCAGAUUACAUUAAAUUAUUGGGUGAACUUGUUUAGGUAGGCAUUUGAUCAAGGAAAGGAAAAGAUUAAGGUUGAAGAUUGCGUGUGAGGUUUUAGAGGGGAGUUGGGGCGCGUUGGACUAACUGGGCAUCGACUUAUUCUAAAAUUUGUAUUUAAUUUUUCAUUAAUAAAAUAUGAUUGCAAAAUUGUAUCUCAAUCAUAUUUUAUUAUUGAAAAUAAAUUAUUAGUGAUGUUGGAAACUUUUAAUCUUCCAAUGCCAUUCAAACAUGAAGUUAAAUACUUAACUGUGCUAUUAUUUUAAAUGAACUUGAACGUUAUGUGCUAUUAUUUUAAAUAAAUUUGAAUGUUAUGUAUAUAUCAAAUUUGGGUCUACAUUUUAAAUAAACUUGGACGUCUCUGUAAGUGUUUGGAAUCAAAGUUAUGUCUAUAAUUUUGAGCAUAUUGUUAUAUGUUAGAAUAUAUAGUCUAAAAUAAUUUAUAGUAUAUAAAUAAAAAUUGUUUUAUAUUUAGAUUCAUUUAACAUGUAUUCGAUUAUAUUCGAAAACACUAAAGUAAAUAUAUAGUCUAAAUAAUCUAAUAUAUAAAUAAAAAUUGUUUUAUAUUUUGAAUUCAUUUAACAUUGUUUUAUAUUUGAUUAUAUUCGAAAACAGUAAAGUAAAGAUAUUCUAUCUAAAUGUUUAGAUAUGAAAUUUCUAAAACGUUUUAAUUUCUAAACAACGUUUUAAUAUCUAAAUGUUUAGACAUGAAAGUAAAAUAUAUUUUAAUAUUUAAAUGUCUAGACAUGAAUUUCAUGUAAUCGUUUUAAUAUCUAAAUGUUUAGACAUAAAAGUUAAAUAAAAGUGUUUUAGUAUCUAAAUGUUUAGACAUAAAAAUUAAAUAUAGAUAUUUUUAAUAUUUAAAUGUUUAGACAGUUUUAAUAUCUAGAUAUUUAGACAUAAAAGUUAAAUAUAAGUGUUUUAAUAUCUAAAUGUUUAUACAUAAAAGUUAAAUAUAAAUGUUUAGAAUAAGUUAGGCAUUUCUAAAGUUAAAUUUAUUAAAUAACUUUUUUAAAAGAUAAUUAAACUGAAAUUUAUUAAAUAACAUUUCUAAAAGAUAAUUAGACUGGCAUAUAAAAGGUAGAACAUGUUCUUUUUAUAGUUUCUAUUAUUGAUCCAAUUUGCAAAAGAAAAAUAACUAAAGAAUUAGUUCUAACAUGCAUGGAUUGUUGUUAAUUUAGUGUAUUAUUAAAAAAUUAUUUAUAAAAAUUAUAUUUAUUUGUUUAAAUAGUUUUUGUGAAUUUAAAUCUCUAAUGAUGAGAAUUUGGUUUCGUAGAAUUUAAAAUCUGACCUUUUUCGUUCACGUUAAUAUUUUAAAUGUUGGAUUAUUACAAAUUUGUUGGAGAGAAAUAAAUAAAAUAAAUGUCGUGGAAAAAGGUGGCAACGUUGUAGAAAGAAUCACUAUUACUAGAAUCUUCUUCGCCCUUCCCCACGCUUCUACUUCUUCUAUAAAACCUCUACGUUUCUCUCUUAAACCCCAAUUCUUACACUCACCGAUUCACUCCCUCACCUAUUCCAGCUUCAACUUUUCCAUAUCUCUCCAUCAAUGGCUUCUUCCAUUGCUCUCCGAGCGCUUACCGCUUUCUCCGCACCUAAACUCAUCAAUCCUGUUCGCUCCGCCUCUAUUCUCCCUUCCUCUGUUCCUCGUUCCUUCAACACCAAUGCUCAGAUGACCAACUACGACCAUGAUGAUCGUUCUGUUGAAGUGGACCGCCGCUCUGACCGCUCCCUCUCUCGUUCUCGGGAUCCUUAUUCUGGUUUCGGAGGUAGUUGUUAUCUUCGUCCAUGCUUCACUUUUGUUCUCGUGGUUUCUUCGUUGAUUCUCAUGUUUCUGAAUUGUUCUGCAACUUUCAAUUAGUUUUUGUGUUUGAUUUUUUUUUUUUUUUUUUUUUGAGUUAUUUCGUUUCGGUUUGUGGAAAUGGCUCUUGGAUCCUCUGGUGGAAAUGAAUGUUUGAGUUUGUAUGUGUUGAUUUAUAUGGAAUAAAUCUCUAUUUCUUUUAUAAUUUAGUAGAGUACAAACCUAUAUACAACCAAAGGGAAAUAGGAAAUAGUAUCAGAAUAAUAAUUAUUCUAAUUACGUUAAUAAUAUGUCUUAUUGUUAGUUUUUGUGGAAUGUUGCGAUGAUAUUGUCUAUGAGCUUUGACGAUUCUGUUCGGCGAAUCUCGGCAUGAUUUUUUGUAAUUGAUUGGAGAUAAGUGAAAAUUUGUGUUAGCUGUUGUUGGUGGAUGUUGAGCUGAUCGGUCUUUUCGAUCUUGUAGCUAUGGAACUGUCUAAGUUGAGAGUGAACUUGCGUGUUUGUUGUUUUGAUCACUCUGUUUACGAGUCUUUGGCAUAAAAUCUUUGGAACUCGUCAUGAUUUUGUGAGGAUUUUGUUUAGGAAUAUAUGCUUGAUGAAUGAUCUCUUUGAGGAAUCUAGUUCAUUCGUCAAUUGGAUCACAUUCCAAGUCUUGUUAUCUGGUUCAUUGAGGAUCCUUGAUCUGAUCUGGAAAUCACGCCGUUGUAGUCAUUAGUUCGUUGUGGUUUAGAGGGAAAUUUUGAUUGUUGUUUGUUAAUGCCGGAUGCUUGCGCUGAACAGUGUUUGUUUGUCAAUUUACAGAUGUGUUCGAUCCAUUCUCUCAGACUAGGAGCCUAAGCCAGGUGCUGAAUCUGAUGGACCAGUUCAUGGAGGAUCCGUUUCUGGCAGCAUCACGAGGAGUAGGAGCAGGAUCAAGGAGGGGGUGGGACGUGAAGGAAGACGACAACUGUCUAUAUCUUCGUAUGGACAUGCCAGGACUGGGCAAAGAUGAUGUGAAGGUGAGUGUGGAGCAGAACACACUGAUCAUCAAAGGAGAGGCAGAGAAAGAAUCCGAAGAUGAAGAAGACCUUAGACGAUUCUCGAGCCGACUGGACUUGCCUGCGAAUCUGUACGAGCUGAAUUCAAUCAAAGCAGAGAUGAAGAAUGGGGUGCUGAAAGUGGCAGUGCCAAAGGUGAAGGAAGAAGAAAGGAAGGAUGUGAGGCAUGUUACUGUUGAGUAGUUGUUUGGAAAAUGAAAAUGAUGCCCUUACUUUGUUUUUCUUACACUUGAAUGUACAGCCUUUCUUG